AUGUUUAGGGGGUGGAAUUUAUGAAAUGCAUUGUGCUGGGAGAAUUACAGCAUCCUGCCCCAUGUCAUCCUUAAUGUGUGCAAACAGAAUUCUGCUCCCCAAAACCUGCCACCCAUUAAUGCUCUGCUGCUGAGAAGGAUAAAAAAUUAAACAGGUCUCACAGGGCUGACUUCACGUGAGACCAGCCAGCCGUGGUCACCAAGGUGCCUACAUAAACUGAUACAAAAUCAUCUGAGCCCCACUUACUCCUCUGACAUUUUGACAGUGGGUUAUUGCAUUCCACUUCUGUUUCCCUGAUGUUCAUGCGCUUUCUACUCUGUGGAGACUCUGCAGGAGGAGGGAUGAAGCUUCUGGGUCUGCUGAACAUCUGCUCAGUGCCUGCAGGCAGAGUAUGUGGCAACCAAAGGCCUCUAAGAGGAGAUGCAGGGCAUAUUGUGUGGGGGAGCUGCACACCCGAGGCCAAGGACCGGGGAUAUCCCAGGCAACAGAACUGAUGCCUAACAUUUCACCUUGAGAAUGAACCCCAAAGGAGAACAAAAUAAAAUUUCUAUUAUCAGGAGACAUGCAUAUCUAGUUGCUUGUGAAAGGUAUGGAUAAACAUAAUCAUUAGUUACUUUGCACUCAUACUGAAACUCUACAG
This is a long non-coding RNA of Zonotrichia leucophrys gambelii, 640 nucleotides long. RefSeq lists it as uncharacterized. The record is from RefSeq and is a predicted model, not a curated record. The transcript is spliced from 4 exons. NCBI's taxonomy places the organism in Eukaryota, Metazoa, Chordata, Aves, Passeriformes, Passerellidae.